UACGGAGGGUGCUAGCGUUGUCCGGAUUCACUGGGUUUAACGGGUGCGUAGGUGGCUUUGUAAGUCAGUGGUGACAUCUCGGAGCUUAACUCCGAAACUGCCAUUGAUACUGCUUAGCUUGAAUCAGGUAGAGGUGGAUGGAAUAUUACAUGUAGCGGUGAAAUGCUUAGAUAUGUAAUAGAACACCGAUUGCGAAGGCAGGUCACUAUGCCUGCAUUGACACUGAGGCACGAAAGCGUGGGGAUCAAACAGG
Molecule: ribosomal RNA, 253 nt
Filed under: uncultured bacterium
Lineage: Bacteria
Description: partial 16S ribosomal RNA
Rfam family: Bacterial small subunit ribosomal RNA
Source: RNAcentral